UACGUAGGGUGCAAGCGUUAAUCGGAAUUACUGGGCGUAAAGCGUGCGCAGGCGGUUAUGUAAGACAGAUGUGAAAUCCCCGGGCUUAACCUGGGAACUGCAUUUGUGACUGCAUCGCUGGAGUGCGGCAGAGGGGGAUGGAAUUCCGCGUGUAGCAGUGAAAUGCGUAGAUAUGCGGAGGAACACCGAUGGCGAAGGCAAUCCCCUGGGCCUGCACUGACGCUCAUGCACGAAAGCGUGGGGAGCAAACAGG
This 253-nucleotide ribosomal RNA is filed under the name uncultured bacterium. RNAcentral describes it as "partial 16S ribosomal RNA". It matches the Rfam family "Bacterial small subunit ribosomal RNA", at positions 524 to 776 of the family's 1533-position model. The record is from RNAcentral.